Molecule: ribosomal RNA, 2274 nt
Filed under: Proteus mirabilis
Lineage: Bacteria; Pseudomonadati; Pseudomonadota; Gammaproteobacteria; Enterobacterales; Morganellaceae
Description: bacterial LSU rRNA
Rfam family: Bacterial large subunit ribosomal RNA
Source: RNAcentral
UUAAGCGAAUAAGCGUACACGGUGGAUGCCUAGGCAAUCAGAGGCGAUGAAGGACGUGCUAAUCUGCGAAAAGCGUCGGUAAGGUGAUAUGAACCGUUAUACCCGACGAUAUCCGAAUGGGGAAACCCAGUAUCCAAUGGAUACUAUCAUUAACUGAAUCCAUAGGUUAAUGAGGCGAACCGGGAGAACUGAAACAUCUCAGUACCCCGAGGAAAAGAAAUCAACCGAGAUUCCCCUAGUAGCGGCGAGCGAACGGGGAGCAGCCCAGAGUCUUAAUCAAUAACAGUGUCAGGAGAACGGUCUGGAAAGUCCGGCAGUAAAGGGUGAUAGCCCCGUAUCUGAAGAUGCUGUUAUUGUGAACUCGACGAGUAGGGCGGGACACGUGUUAUCCUGUCUGAAUAUGGGGGGACCAUCCUCCAAGGCUAAAUACUCCUGAUUGACCGAUAGUGAACCAGUACCGUGAGGGAAAGGCGAAAAGAACCCCGGCGAGGGGAGUGAAAAAGAACCUGAAACCGUGUACGUACAAGCAGUAGGAGCCUCUUUAUGGGGUGACUGCGUACCUUUUGUAUAAUGGGUCAGCGACUUAUAUUCUGUAGCGAGGUUAACCGUAUAGGGGAGCCGUAGGGAAACCGAGUCUUAACUGGGCGAAUGAGUUGCAGGGUAUAGACCCGAAACCCGGUGAUCUAUCCAUGGGCAGGUUGAAGGUUGGGUAACACUAACUGGAGGACCGAACCGACUAAUGUUGAAAAAUUAGCGGAUGACUUGUGGAUGGGGGUGAAAGGCCAAUCAAACCGGGAGAUAGCUGGUUCUCCCCGAAAGCUAUUUAGGUAGCGCCUCGUGAAUUCAUCUUCGGGGGUAGAGCACUGUUUCGACUAGGGGGUCAUCCCGACUUACCAACUCGAUGCAAACUGCGAAUACCGAAGAAUGUUAUCACGGGAGACACACGGCGGGUGCUAACGUCCGUCGUGAAGAGGGAAACAACCCAGACCGCCAGCUAAGGUCCCAAAGUCAUGGUUAAGUGGGAAACGAAGUGGGAAGGCUCAGACAGCCAGGAUGUUGGCUUAGAAGCAGCCAUCAUUUAAAGAAAGCGUAAUAGCUCACUGGUCGAGUCGGCCCGCGCGGAAGAUGUAACGGGGCUAAACCAUGCACCGAAGCUGCGGCAGCGACACAAAGUGUUGUUGGGUAGGGGAGCGUUCUGUAAGCCUGCGAAGGUGUACUGUGAGGUAUGCUGGAGGUAUCAGAAGUGCGAAUGCUGACAUAAGUAACGAUAAUGCGGGUGAAAAACCCGCACGCCGGAAGACCAAGGGUUCCUGUCCAACGUUAAUCGGGGCAGGGUGAGUCGACCCCUAAGGCGAGGCUGAAAAGCGUAGUCGAUGGGAAACGGGUUAAUAUUCCCGUACUGGUGGUAACUGCGAUGGGGGAACGGAGAAGGCUAGGUUGUCCGGGCGACGGUCGUCCCGGUUCAAGCAGGUAGGCAGAGUGAUUAGGCAAAUCCGGUCACUUAAUGCUGAGAUGUGAUGACGAACCACCAAGGUGGUGAAGCAAUUGAUGCCCCGCUUCCAGGAAAAGCCUCUAAGCUUCAGGUUACCAACAAUCGUACCCCAAACCGACACAGGUGGUCAGGUAGAGAAUACUCAGGCGCUUGAGAGAACUCGGGUGAAGGAACUAGGCAAAAUGGUGCCGUAACUUCGGGAGAAGGCACGCUGGCGGUAGGUAAAGUCCCUCGCGGACGGCGCUGAAGCCAGUCGAAGAUACCAGCUGGCUGCAACUGUUUAUUAAAAACACAGCACUGUGCAAACACGAAAGUGGACGUAUACGGUGUGACGCCUGCCCGGUGCUGGAAGGUUAAUUGAUGGGGUUAGCGUAAGCGAAGCUCCUGAUCGAAGCCCCAGUAAACGGCGGCCGUAACUAUAACGGUCCUAAGGUAGCGAAAUUCCUUGUCGGGUAAGUUCCGACCUGCACGAAUGGCGUAAUGAUGGCCAGGCUGUCUCCACCCGAGACUCAGUGAAAUUGAACUCGCUGUGAAGAUGCAGUGUACCCGCGGCAAGACGGAAAGACCCCGUGAACCUUUACUAUAGCUUGACACUGAACAUUGAGCCUUGAUGUGUAGGAUAGGUGGGAGGCUUUGAAGUGUGGACGCCAGUCUACAUGGAGCCAACCUUGAAAUACCACCCUUUAACGUUUGAUGUUCUAACCUAGGCCAUAAACUGGGUCGGGGACCGUGUCUGGUGGGUAGUUUGACUGGGGCGGUCUCCUCCUAAAGAGUAACGGAGG